This is a non-coding RNA of Acanthosepion pharaonis, 114 nucleotides long. The record is from the annotation of a GenBank genome assembly. NCBI's taxonomy places the organism in Eukaryota, Metazoa, Mollusca, Cephalopoda, Sepiida, Sepiidae.
UUACGGCCAUAUCACUUUGAAACACCAGUUCCCGUACGGUAACCGAAGUUAAGCAACGUCAAACCUAAUCAAUACUGAGGUGGGUGAUAACCUGAGAAUACUAGAUGAUGUAAG